RNAcentral lists this ribosomal RNA (485 nucleotides) under uncultured bacterium. Its description in RNAcentral is "partial 16S ribosomal RNA". It matches the Rfam family "Bacterial small subunit ribosomal RNA", at positions 29 to 506 of the family's 1533-position model. The record is from RNAcentral.
AUUGAACGCUGGCGGCAUGCUUUACACAUGCAAGUCGAGCGGCAGCGCGGGGGCAACCCUGGCGGCGAGCGGCGAACGGGUGAGUAAUGCAUCGGAACGUAUCCUCGAGUGGGGGAUAACCCAGCGAAAGUUGGGCUAAUACCGCAUGAGCUCUGAGGAGGAAAGCGGGGGACCUGCGAGGGCCUCGCGCUGGAGGAGCGGCCGAUGUCCGAUUAGCUAGUGGGUGGGGUAAAGGCUUACCAAGGCGACGAUCGGUAGCUGGUCUGAGAGGAUGAUCAGCCACACUGGGACUGAGACACGGCCCAGACUCCUACGGGAGGCAGCAGUGGGGAAUUUUGGACAAUGGGGGCAACCCUGAUCCAGCCAUGCCGCGUGAGUGAAGAAGGCCUUCGGGUUGUAAAGCUCUUUCGGACGGAACGAAAUGGGCGGGACUAAUACUCCUGUCUGAUGACGGUACCGUAAGAAGAAGCACCGGCUAACUACGU